AGCGUUGCUCGGAAUUACUGUGCGUAAAGGGCGCGUAGGCGGACAGUUAAGUCGGGGGUGAAAGCCCGGGGCUCAACCUCGGAAUUGCCUUCGAUACUGGCUGUCUUGAGUGCGGGAGAGGUGUGUGGAACUCCGAGUGUAGAGGUGAAAUUCGUAGAUAUUCGGAAGAACACCAGUGGCGAAGGCGACACACUGGCCCGUUACUGACGCUGAGGCGCGAAAGCGUGGGGAGCAAACAGG
RNAcentral lists this ribosomal RNA (240 nucleotides) under uncultured bacterium. RNAcentral's name for it is "partial 16S ribosomal RNA". It matches the Rfam family "Bacterial small subunit ribosomal RNA", at positions 537 to 776 of the family's 1533-position model. The record is from RNAcentral.